GGCCACAGCCAUAUCAACCUGCAGCACAAGACCGGUUACUCACUGAAGCUAAGCAGGGUUGAGCCUGGUCAGUACCUGAAUGGGAGACCACUAGGGAACACUAGGUUCCUGUUGGAA
Molecule: non-coding RNA, 117 nt
Organism: Danio rerio (zebrafish)
Lineage: Eukaryota; Metazoa; Chordata; Actinopteri; Cypriniformes; Danionidae
Source: Rfam